Molecule: transfer RNA, 85 nt
Filed under: Candidatus Omnitrophota bacterium
Lineage: Bacteria; Pseudomonadati; Candidatus Omnitrophota
Description: tRNA-Leu
Rfam family: tRNA
About the family: Transfer RNA (tRNA) molecules are approximately 80 nucleotides in length. Their secondary structure includes four short double-helical elements and three loops (D, anti-codon, and T loops).
Source: RNAcentral
GCCGAGGUGUCGGAACUGGCAGACGAUGGGGACUUAAAAUCCCCUGCCCCUAAAGGGCGUGUGGGUUCAAAUCCCUCCCUCGGCA